GAGGAAUAUUGGUCAAUGGACGAGAGUCUGAACCAGCCAAGUAGCGUGAAGGAUGAAGGUUCUAUGGAUUGUAAACUUCUUUUAUACGGGAAUAAACGAAUCCACGCGUGGAUUUUUGCAUGUACCGUAUGAAUAAGGAUCGGCUAACUCCGUGCCAGCAGCCGCGGUAAUACGGAGGAUCCGAGCGUUAUCCGGAUUUAUUGGGUUUAAAGGGAGCGUAGAUGGGUUGUUAAGUCAGUUGUGAAAGUUUGCGGCUCAACCGUAAAAUUGCAAUUGAUACUGGCAGUCUUGAGUACAGUUGAGGUAGGCGGAAUUCGUGGUGUAGCGGUGAAAUGCUUAGAUAUCACGAAGAACUCCGAUUGCGAAGGCAGCUUACUAACCUGUAACUGACAUUGAUGCUCGAAAGUGUGGGUAUCAAACAGGAUUAGAUACCCUGGUAGUCCACACGGUAAACGAUGAAUACUCGCUGUAGGCGAUAUACGGUCUGCGGCCAAGCGAAAGCAUUAAGUAUUCCACCUGGGGAGUACGCCGGCAACGGUGAAACUCAAGGGAAUUGACGGGGGCCCGCACAAGCGGAGGAACAUGUGGUUUAAUUCGAUGAUACGCGAGGAACCUUACCCGGGCUUAAAUUGCAACCGAAUAUGGCGGAAACGCCAUAGCUAGCAAUAGCGGUUGUGAAGGUGCUGCAUGGUUGUCGUCAGCUCGUGCCGUGAGGUGUCGGCUUAAGUGCCAUAACGAGCGCAACCCUUGCCGAUAGUUACUAACAGGUUAUGCUGAGGACUCUGUCGGGACUGCCAUCGUAAGAUGUGAGGAAGGUGGGGAUGACGUCAAAUCAGCACGGCCCUUACGUCCGGGGCUACACACGUGUUACAAUGGGGGGUACAGAGGGCUGCUACCACGCAAGUGGAUGCCAAUCCCAAAAACCUCUCUCAGUUCGGAUUGAAGUCUGCAACCCGACUUCAUGAAGCUGGAUUCGCUAGUAAUCGCGCAUCAGCCACGGCGCGGUGAAUACGUUCCCG
RNAcentral lists this ribosomal RNA (1019 nucleotides) under uncultured organism. Its description in RNAcentral is "bacterial SSU rRNA". It matches the Rfam family "Bacterial small subunit ribosomal RNA", at positions 356 to 1376 of the family's 1533-position model. The record is from RNAcentral.